AGCUUGCUGGGUGGAUUAGUGGCGAACGGGUGAGUAACACGUGAGUAACCUGCCCUUGACUCUGGGAUAAGCGUUGGAAACGACGUCUAAUACCGGAUACGAGCUUCCACCGCAUGGUGAGUUGCUGGAAAGAAUUUUGGUCAAGGAUGGACUCGCGGCCUAUCAGCUUGUUGGUGAGGUAAUGGCUCACCAAGGCGACGACGGGUAGCCGGCCUGAGAGGGUGACCGGCCACACUGGGACUGAGACACGGCCCAGACUCCUACGGGAGGCAGCAGUGGGGAAUAUUGCACAAUGGGCGAAAGCCUGAUGCAGCAACGCCGCGUGAGGGACGACGGCCUUCGGGUUGUAAACCUCUUUUAGCAGGGAAGAAGCGAAAGUGACGGUACCUGCAGAAAAAGCACCGGCUAACUACGUGCCAGCAGCCGCGGUAAUACGUAGGGUGCAAGCGUUGUCCGGAAUUAUUGGGCGUAAAGAGCUCGUAGGCGGUUUGUCGCGUCUGCUGUGAAAUCCCGAGGCUCAACCUCGGGUCUGCAGUGGGUACGGGCAGACUAGAGUGCGGUAGGGGAGAUUGGAAUUCCUGGUGUAGCGGUGGAAUGCGCAGAUAUCAGGAGGAACACCGAUGGCGAAGGCAGAUCUCUGGGCCGCUACUGACGCUGAGGAGCGAAAGGGUGGGGAGCAAACAGGCUUAGAUACCCUGGUAGUCCACCCCGUAAACGUUGGGCGCUAGAUGUGGGGACCAUUCCACGGUUUCCGUGUCGUAGCUAACGCAUUAAGCGCCCCGCCUGGGGAGUACGGCCGCAAGGCUAAAACUCAAAGGAAUUGACGGGGGCCCGCACAAGCGGCGGAGCAUGCGGAUUAAUUCGAUGCAACGCGAAGAACCUUACCAAGGCUUGACAUAUACGAGAACGGGCCAGAAAUGGUCAACUCUUUGGACACUCGUAAACAGGUGGUGCAUGGUUGUCGUCAGCUCGUGUCGUGAGAUGUUGGGUUAAGUCCCGCAACGAGCGCAACCCUCGUUCUAUGUUGCCAGCACGUAAUGGUGGGAACUCAUGGGAUACUGCCGGGGUCAACUCGGAGGAAGGUGGGGACGACGUCAAAUCAUCAUGCCCCUUAUGUCUUGGGCUUCACGCAUGCUACAAUGGCCAGUACAAAGGGCUGCAAUACCGUAAGGUGGAGCGAAUCCCAAAAAGCUGGUCCCAGUUCGGAUUGAGGUCUGCAACUCGACCUCAUGAAGUCGGAGUCGCUAGUAAUCGCAGAUCAGCAACGCUGCGGUGAAUACGUUCCCGGGCCUUGUACACACCGCCCGUCAAGUCAUGAAAGUCGGUAACACCCGAAGCCAGUGGCCUAACCGCAAGGAUGGAGCUGUCUAAG
RNAcentral lists this ribosomal RNA (1372 nucleotides) under Plantibacter cousiniae (nom. nud.). Its description in RNAcentral is "Plantibacter cousiniae 16S ribosomal RNA". It matches the Rfam family "Bacterial small subunit ribosomal RNA". The record is from RNAcentral. Lineage: Bacteria; Bacillati; Actinomycetota; Actinomycetes; Micrococcales; Microbacteriaceae.